Long non-coding RNA from Drosophila sulfurigaster albostrigata, 876 nucleotides. RefSeq lists it as uncharacterized. Lineage: Eukaryota; Metazoa; Arthropoda; Insecta; Diptera; Drosophilidae. The record is from RefSeq and is a predicted model, not a curated record. The transcript has 3 exons.
CAGGUGCUGAUAUGCCUGUAACUAGUAAAUCCGCAAUGCAUACACCCAACAACAGUGGAUUUCUCAAUCUUACAGAUGAGGCCGAGCACAGUCUAAUGGCUAACAGUAAGAUUGUUAUCGAUGGAAUAGCAUGUUCAGUGUCUCCACUCGCCUCUGGGCCAUAAGAAUUUGUUAUCGUGAAAUUUCCGUAAUUAUCGUAGUCGAAAUCAUGACCUCCAGGUUCAAGACUUCCACCUCCAUCAUAAGAAUUGUCGUCAAGAAGUGUGUAAUGCAAAACUUGGGUUUUGAUAUUGCCUUGGCUUACGAUAUUAAUAUUGCUAUCGACUGUGGCUUCUAGUUGUUGGUGUCGACGCUAUGUUUCCAGAUGAGUGAAAUCGACUUUUUUCCGCCCAACUCCAUAUAAAAAAUGGAUUUGCUUAAUUUUUGGGGCGUAAUUUCGUUCCGUAGUUUCCAGCACAAAAAAUCGAUACUCCUAUACUUGAAUGUAUGUGGAUAUCAAAUCAGCAGUUUCACAUGUGAAAAAAUAGACAACCUAAUAUUCCCAUUCAUAUCCGCAAAGUGAAGAGAACUAUAAAGAUGGAUAAUUAAAAAAAAUAAAUAAAAAGAAAGCGUCUGAGACAUUUUCUCAUGAAUCGAAACACAUUAACAUUAAUUAAUAAUUUGGAGUCACAAGACUAUAUAUGAAAUUUUAAAUCAAAAAUAUAUUGCAACGAAGUUGAAAUAAUAUGCGCUUGGGAUAUUGUCACCAUAAAAAUAGGCAAUGAAUAUGAUUUCAUCUGUUUUUUUUUUAAUAAUUGCAUUUAUUUAAUAGGCAAAUGUUUAACUGCUGUGGCCAUAGAUUUAUGUUUUUUGCCAUUUCCGUGCCAAAUUUAGGUU